ACUUCCUGAUGUCACGGAUACCCAAUGAUCAUUUAAUACUUCGGCACCAAUAUCUGUUUUCUGACUCGCUAAAGGAAUUGGAUAAUUCUUUGGAAGAAGCCGAUAACUUGGGGAGCAACUGUCACAGUUAGAGAGAUCAAGUUCAUGUAUAGGUUUUGCUGCGUAUUUAUCCUUGCUAUACAACGACAUCUUCUGCCCUUGUGCAUCUCUAGUUGCAUAAGCA
This 223-nucleotide unclassified non-coding RNA is filed under the name Hevea brasiliensis (rubber tree). Lineage: Eukaryota; Viridiplantae; Streptophyta; Magnoliopsida; Malpighiales; Euphorbiaceae. The record is from RNAcentral.